RNAcentral lists this ribosomal RNA (35 nucleotides) under Colletotrichum dematium. RNAcentral's name for it is "partial 28S ribosomal RNA". Lineage: Eukaryota; Fungi; Ascomycota; Sordariomycetes; Glomerellales; Glomerellaceae. The record is from RNAcentral.
CUGAACUUAAGCAUAUCAAAGACCCGGGAGGAGAA